AGAUUGAACGCUGGCGGCAGGCCUAACACAUGCAAGUCGAGCGGUAGAGAGGUGCCUGCACCUCUUGAGAGCGGCGGACGGGUGAGUAAUGCCUAGGAAUCUGCCUAGUGGUGGGGGAUAACGUUCGGAAACGGACGCUAAUACCGCAUACGUCCUACGGGAGAAAGGCGGGGGACCUUCGGGCCUCGCGCCAUUAGAUGAGCCUAGGUCGAUUAGCUAGUGGUGAGGUAAUGGCUCACCGAAGGCGAGAGUCCGUAACUGGUACUGAAGAGGAUAGAUCAGUCACUACGUGGAACUGGA
Molecule: ribosomal RNA, 300 nt
Filed under: uncultured soil bacterium
Lineage: Bacteria
Description: bacterial SSU rRNA
Rfam family: Bacterial small subunit ribosomal RNA
Source: RNAcentral